ACUGCUCAGUAACACGUAGUCAACCUACCCUAUGGACGGGAAUAAUCUCGGGAAACUGAGGCUAAUUCCAGAUAGAACACUAUGCCUGGAACGGUUUGUGUUCCAAAUGAUUUAUCGCCAUAGGAUGGGACUGCGGCCUAUCAGUUUGUUGGUGAGGUAAUGGCCCACCAAGACUAUUACAGGUACGGGCUCUGAGAAGAGUAGCCCGGAGAUGGGUACUGAGACACGGACCCAGGCCCUAUGGGGCGCAGCAGGCGAGAAAACUUUGCAAUGUGCGAAAGCACGACAAGGUUAAUCCGAGUGGUUCCUGCUAAAGGAACCUUUUGACGGUCCUAAAAACACCGUUGAAUAAGGGGUGGGCAAGUUCUGGUGUCAGCCGCCGCGGUAAAACCAGCACCUCAAGUGGUCAGGAUGAUUAUUGGGCCUAAAGCAUCCGUAGCCGGCUCUGUUAGUUUUCGGUUAAAUCUGUACGCUCAACGUACAGGCUGCCGGGAAUACUACAGAGCUAGGGAGUGGGAGAGGUAGACGGUACUUGGUAGGAAGGGGUAAAAUCCUUUGAUCUAUUGAUGACCACCUGUGGCGAAGGCGGUCUACUAGAACACGUCCGACGGUGAGGGAUGAAAGCUGGGGGAGCAAACCGGAUUAGAUACCCGGGUAGUCCCAGCUGUAAACCAUGCAAACUCAAUGAUGCACUGGCUUGAAGCCAAUGCAGUGUUGCAGGGAAGCCGUUAAGUUUGCCGCCUGGGAAGUACGUACGCAAGUAUGAAACUUAAAGGAAUUGGCGGGGGAGCACCACAAGGGGUGGAGCCUGCGGUUC
Molecule: ribosomal RNA, 817 nt
Filed under: uncultured archaeon
Lineage: Archaea
Description: bacterial SSU rRNA
Rfam family: Archaeal small subunit ribosomal RNA
Source: RNAcentral